ACGAACGCUGGCGGCGCGCUUAACACAUGCAAGUCGAACGGAAAGGCCUGCUUUCCCUUGUGGAUUGCGGGUACUCGAGUGGCGAACGGGUGAGUAACACGUGAGUGAUCUGCCCCCAACUUGGGUAUAAGCCUGGGAAACUGGGUCUAAUUCCCGAUAGGACUGCAGGGUGGUGCCUGUGGUGGAAAACGAUUUUCUAGUGGUUGGGGAUGAGCUCGCGGCCUAUCAGCUUGUUGGUGGGGUAAUGGCCUAUCAAGGCGGCGACGGGUAGCCGGCCUGAGAGGGUGGACGGCCACAUUGGGACUGAGAUACGGCCCAGACUCCUACGGGAGGCAGCAGUGGGGAAUAUUGCACAAUGGGCGGAAGCCUGAUGCAGCGACGCCGCGUGGGGGAUGACGGCCUUCGGGUUGUAAACUCCUUUCGACCGCGAGGAAGCCACCUGGUUGGAAGGGUGGUGACGGUAGUGGUAGAAGAAGCACCGGCUAACUACGUG
Molecule: ribosomal RNA, 493 nt
Filed under: uncultured bacterium
Lineage: Bacteria
Description: partial 16S ribosomal RNA
Rfam family: Bacterial small subunit ribosomal RNA
Source: RNAcentral